AUAAAAGAACUGAAAGCGAUUACCGCACUAAUAAAGUGAGGCCAGUCAUGUCCUAAUCUUUUGAGGCUCGAAUUUUAAUUCGGUCCCUGAAGUUUGCAAUCAUUCAAUUUUUACCCAUAUAGUUUCAAUCGGUUGAACUCGGCCUGCUAACUUUGUGAAUCUGUCGCACUUCAGCCUAAUGUGAAGGAUGAAGAAAAUUAUUCAGGCUUUUCUUAUUGAGUGUUUUUUUGGCUGAAUAUUAUUGUCGAGUGUUGAGUGAAGAAACGAUUCUAUCCAAGCAUAAUCAGUGAGGUUACUUUUGAUAGCGGAAAAUUAUUCCAUUCAUCUCCGCUCUUCUCAUUCACAACUUUUUUAAAAAUUUAAAAGCAGCCUUGAUGUUUUUCGCCCAAUCUCUCUAUCCUCCUCUGUGACACACUCUCUCUCUUGCUCCUCCUUUGCCAUCUUCAUCCUCUCCCCACCUCACCCGCAUCUCCUCCCGCCAAGGGAUUGCAGUGACCUCACCUAAAGGGGAAGCAACGAGCUAGUUCACAGCAGAAACUGCCCCCUUCUCCCCCCCCCCCCCCCAUCGGGACUGCCCUCUGCUGGCUGGUGAGGUAGCUUAAGUAUAAUGAUCGUUGUUGGAUUCGUAUUAACUGGAUAUGGGGAUGGUGAGACCGAGACAAUACACCUGGAAGGCACUACUCAUUCAGUUGUCAUUUUGGAGGUCUUUGUGAAUAUUUUUAUUCCAUUAUAGAACGAAUCUAAAUCUUAAAUUAAUUAUAUCAAUGCUUGUUUAAAUGAAAUAAGUUGAGUGAAGAGGUUAUGAGGAUCUUGAUGAUUCAUUGUAAAUGAGUUCAGUUAAUUAAAGCGUGUGAUGUUGUUAUGUAUA
Molecule: non-coding RNA, 868 nt
Organism: Punica granatum (pomegranate)
Lineage: Eukaryota; Viridiplantae; Streptophyta; Magnoliopsida; Myrtales; Lythraceae
Source: RefSeq, a predicted model, not a curated record